RNAcentral lists this ribosomal RNA (468 nucleotides) under uncultured bacterium. RNAcentral describes it as "partial 16S ribosomal RNA". It matches the Rfam family "Bacterial small subunit ribosomal RNA", at positions 28 to 507 of the family's 1533-position model. The record is from RNAcentral.
GACGAACGCUGGCGGCGCGCCUAACACAUGCAAGUCGAACGGAGCUGAGAGAAGCUUGCUUUUCUUAGCUUAGUGGCGAACGGGUGAGUGACGCGUGAGUAACCUGCUCUGGAGUGGGGGACAACAGUUGGAAACGACUGCUAAUACCGCAUAAGCCCACGAUCCGGCAUCGGCAUGAGGGAAAAGGAUUUAUUCGCUUCAGGAUGGACUCGCGCCCAAUUAGCUAGUUGGUGAGGGAACGGCCCACCAAGGCGACGAUUGGUAGCCGGACUGAGAGGUUGAGCGGACACAUUGGGGCUGAGACACGGCCCAGACUCCUACGGGAGGCAGCAGUGGGGGAUAUUGCACAAUGGGGGGAGCCCUGAUGCCGCGACGCCGGGUGGAGGAAGAAGGUUUUCGGAUUGUAAACUCCUGUCGUUAGGGACGAUAAUGACGGUACCUAACAAGAAAGCACCGGCUAACUACGUG